UAAGAAAGGGGUAGAUUAAGGGAAUCUGAUCAAGAACACACUUUUAUCUUUAUGAAGGAGAUGGGGAAAACCCCCAUACUCUCUUAAGAGAUUACAAAACGUCCAAGACACAUCCUUAUAUAGGCUUUACAUCAUUGCAACUCAUAAACCUAUAUGUGAUGGCUAUAAUUAACUUAAGGGAAUGGAUGGUGUAGAUGAGAUGGUAAUAUCUGAUCACUUUAAUUCAAACAAGGUAAGCUGGCGCCUGAUCUCUGAUUGGCUCUCCUUAGGCUCCUCUUCAUCUUCCCAAGUUACUGUCCAGAUUCAUAGUCAAGGCUGCUCUUUCUUUCCAGCAACAGCCAGCCUGUUUCUUUACUAAAGUAGCCAAUCACACUCCUAAGGGAUCUUAUUGAUACUGCUUUGAUGCCUUAGGAUCAGAACCUUAUCCCUUCGUCCAGCACACUCUAAUGCUGCCCUAUUCUUGCACAGACUUAGUACAAGCUUCCCGAGAUGUCAGGCUGCGCCCUAUUUUCGCACCAACUUCAUAUCUUCUUAAAUGGUCAAGUUAUGCACUUUUGGGAUCGACCUGGUACGUACGGAUCCGUACGGUCCGUACACGUCCGUACCAAAUCCGUACUACCUCACCCUAACAUUGCACACUCACCCAUUUGCUCCUCAACACUCUUCUAAGUCUCUCCUAGACUUUUCCCUUGCUUAGAACAUCCCUCAUAUCACUUCUGAACACCUUUAGACUCCUCAUCACUCUUGAUAGGCAAUCUCUAAAGCUCUUGCCCUAUCUUUGUACAAGAUCCAUCUCAACUCAACACCUUUAUCUCCUCCAU
Molecule: long non-coding RNA, 821 nt
Filed under: Brassica napus (rape)
Lineage: Eukaryota; Viridiplantae; Streptophyta; Magnoliopsida; Brassicales; Brassicaceae
Description: long non-coding RNA (BNAP_LNC021061)
Source: RNAcentral